UUGGAUUCUUCCUUUGCAGUAUCUGAUAGCAGAAGAUCAUGGUCUUUUGCUUCAAGAAAGUGGAGAUUCUUUACCAAGGUGGGUGUCAUGGUUUAGUGAAGGAGACCCUAUGGGUUCAAGGAAGACAGACAUGGUAUAGUGGUUAGAAACAUGGGCUCCGAUUGAGACACACUAGAUUUGAAACCUGACUUGAUUACUUACUAAUUCUAGAACCUUAGACAAGUGACUUCGUCUCCCCUGGUAUUUAUACCCACCCCCACUGCCAAUGGUAAAUGAGAGAUCAUUUUAACAUGCUCAUAGAGUCAGUGUGAGGAUUAAAUGAGGUAGCAUGUACAAAGUCCUUCAGCGCAGGACUUGGAAUGUGGUAAGCGCUCAGUACAUUGUAGCUAAAAUUCUGUCUCAUGAUCUUAGUAUAAACACAUCAUGUCUCCCACAGUGGUAGGUUAAGAAGGGUGCAGGAAGAACUCGUGGGAACAAGGGCAGGGUAUCAGAGGCAGGUGACACCCCGUGGGGCCCCGGUAAAAAGAUCAGGGUGGGGGAUACUCUGGAAACAUGGAACUAUUUUCAGAUACACAACAUACUUUCUCUGUAAACUCAUCAAGGAGCCAUGUUCAGCAUCGGGUGACGGGAAAUGUGCCUGGGUGUUACUGAGAAGGAAAGUAGACUUCACUUACAGGCUGGUUCCAGGGAUAGCUUUUCACUAAUUUGCUGGGUACCUGUGGCAGGUUGCAAUGGUGGCUUUGAUUUUUUAACCUCUUGAGCCUUGACUUCUGUUCUGUGACUUUCAAGAUCCCCCCACUAAAUAUGGAAUCUUUCAUGCCUUGAAUCUGGUCUGGCCUUGUGACUUGCUUCAGCCAAUAGAAUCCUUAAAAAGUAAUGGUUUCCUAGUUCCUAACUGAAGUCCCAAGAGACCUGCAUGUCUCUAGCUCCUCUCUGUUCUUCUACCAUGGCCACAAGGACAUGGUUUGUAACUUACUAGAGAAUGAGAGACACAUGGAGCAAAGCCAAGUCACCCCAACUGUCCCAGCAGAGGCUGACCUGGUCAGUGGGCAGCCAGCCACAUCUGAGCUCCGAAAGUCAGCCAAGCAAAGGUAACAGAGCCGUCCAGCCUAACAUCCUUGAGACCCGAGCAAUAAAUGCUUAUUGGGUGAGGUUUUGUGUGGUUUUUCUUAUGUAACCUUGCCAGGAGGAGAGAGAACUGAAAAGUGAUCUUGACAGUGUAACUUCAUUUUAUUCCUCAUCUGGGAUUCACUCAUUCACUCCACAGAUAUGGAGUGCCCACUGUGUGUCAACCUUGUGCUAAGCAUUGUUGGGGAGACAGAGAUGAGAGCAGCAUCAUUUUCCCCAGGAGGCUGUUGGUGGAACAAGAGUGUGUCCUUAGAGGACGGAUUCUCUCUACUUCAUUCACCACUGUAUCCGGAUCACCUAGAAGAGUGAGCUGGCCCUUAGAAGAUGUUGGAUUGACAUUUUUUUUUGUCUUAUGCAGAACAGAAGCCCUGUGAGACCUAUAGAGCUUUAGCUGAAGCUACCAGCAACCCCUCCAUGGUGUGGCAUUGAAUUUUGAGGCCCACGCUGUUUCCAUCAUGGGGAAGCCUCAUCUUCAGGCAGAGACCUGGAAGCAGCGAAAAGAGUGACUGGGUGUCGUCUGGCUUUUUGAAGGAAUAAGAGGUACUUGGAAACGAAAGCUGAAUGAGACCUUGACACCACCCUUGAAAAGUUUGCAGUCCAGUGGCAGACACAAAAUUAGAAUUAUAAACCAAGAAAUGCUGUGAAGUGAUAGAGAUUUGUACAAAUAACGUGGGGCCACAGCAGAAGAGGCGGUGAAGUCUACCGAGAGGAGAGAGGUGUCCGAAGACUUCAU
Molecule: long non-coding RNA, 1861 nt
Organism: Felis catus (domestic cat)
Lineage: Eukaryota; Metazoa; Chordata; Mammalia; Carnivora; Felidae
Exons: 3
Source: RefSeq, a predicted model, not a curated record